RNAcentral lists this ribosomal RNA (253 nucleotides) under uncultured bacterium. Its description in RNAcentral is "partial 16S ribosomal RNA". It matches the Rfam family "Bacterial small subunit ribosomal RNA", at positions 524 to 776 of the family's 1533-position model. The record is from RNAcentral.
GACGUAGGAUGCAAGCGUUGUCCGGAAUUAUUGGGCGUAAAGAGUUCGUAGGCGGUUACUUAAGUCUGGUGUUAAAGACGGGAGCUCAACUCCCGCAUGGCAUUGGAAACUGGGUGGCUAGAGUACGGUAGAGGUCUCGGGAAUUCCAGGUGUAGCGGUGAAAUGCGUAGAUAUCGUCAGGAACGCCAAUGGUGAAGACAGGUAACUGGGCUAGUUCUGACACUGAGGCACGAAAGCGUGGGGAGCGAACGGG